RNAcentral lists this ribosomal RNA (251 nucleotides) under Cucumispora roeselii. RNAcentral's name for it is "partial small subunit ribosomal RNA". It matches the Rfam family "Microsporidia small subunit ribosomal RNA", at positions 55 to 258 of the family's 1311-position model. The record is from RNAcentral. Lineage: Eukaryota; Fungi; Microsporidia.
GUGUAAGCGAACGAGAGGGAGCUGCGGACUGCUCAGUAACAGGCGAAUAAUUUAAUCUUUACAAACGGACAAACUCAGGAAACGGAGUGAAAUACGAAAAAGUUGAUAUUUUUAUAAAAGAAAAUCGAAACUAGCUUGAAAAAGCGGUAAAGAAUAAGACGCCAGCCCAUCAGUUAGUAAGUAGGGUAAGGGCCUAUUUAGACGAAUACGGGUACGGGGAAUUAGGGUUUGAUUCCGGAGAGGGAGCCUGA